RNAcentral lists this ribosomal RNA (1527 nucleotides) under uncultured bacterium. RNAcentral's name for it is "bacterial SSU rRNA". It matches the Rfam family "Bacterial small subunit ribosomal RNA". The record is from RNAcentral.
AGUAAACGCUGGCGGUAUGCUUAACACAUGCAAGUCGAACGGGGUUAUGAAUAAAGCAAAUGAAAGUAAGUUCUGUGGAGCAAUCCAUAAAAUUUACUGUAGUUUGUGAUAUUCAUAACUUAGUGGCAAACGGGUGAGUAACACGUAGGUAAACUGCCUCUGUCACGGUAAUAACCCUGAGAAAUUGGGGCUAAUGACCGAUGGUAUCCUGAAAAUAUAUGUUUUCAGGAUUAAAGGGUCCGCUUCUGGCGGAUUAGACAGAGAUGUACCUGCGGCCUAUCAGCUAGUUGGUGAGGUAAUGGCUCACCAAGGCUUUGACGGGUAGCCGGCCUGAAAGGGUGAUCGGCCACACUGGAACUGAGACACGGUCCAGACUCCUACGGGAGGCAGCAGUGGGGAAUUUUGGACAAUGGGGGAAACCCUGAUCCAGCAAUACCGCGUGAGGGACGAAGGUCUUCGGAUUGUAAACCUCUUUUAGGGAAGAAGAAACUCCACUUCGGUGGAUUGACGGUAUUCCCGGAAAAAGUCACGGCUAACUACGUGCCAGCAGCCGCGGUAAUACGUAGGUGGCUAGCGUUACUCGGAAUUACUAGGCGUAAAGCGCGGAUAGGUGGUCUGAUAAGUUGGAGGUGAAAGCUCCGAGAAACUCGGAGAGGUCUUUCAAAACUGUCAGGCUUGAGUGUAGGAGGGGAAACCGGAAUUCCUGGUGUAGCGGUGAAAUGCGUAGAUAUCAGGAGGAACACCGAUGGCGAAGGCGGGUUUCUGGCCUACUACUGACACUGAACCGUGAAGGCGUGGGGAGCAAACAGGAUUAGAUACCCUGGUAGUCCACGCGGUAAACGAUGCUCACUUGGUAUGGGAGGUAUCGAUCCCUUCUGUGCCGAAGCUAACGCGUUAAGUGAGCCGCCUGGGAAGUAUGACCGCAAGGUUGAAACUCAAAGGAAUUGACGGGGGCCCGCACAAGCGGUGGAGCAUGUGGUUUAAUUCGACGCAACGCGAAGAACCUUACCCGGGCUUGAAGAACUGGUGGUAAAAUUCUGAAAGGAAGAUGACCCGCAAGGGAGCCAGUAGAGGUGCUGCAUGGUUGUCGUCAGCUCGUGUCGUGAGAUGUAUGGUUAAGUCCCAUAACGAGCGCAACCCUUAUCCCAUGUUGCUAUGUCGCCGUAAGGCGACAGCACUCUUGGGAGACUACCUCGGUUAACGAGGGGGAAGGCGAGGAUGACGUCAAAUCAUCAUGGCCUUUAUGUCCGGGGCUACACACGUGCUACAAUGGUCGUUACAGAGGGAAGCCAAUCCGCAAGGUGGAGCAAAUCCCAAAAAAGCGACCCCAGUUCAGAUUGUGGGCUGCAACUCGCCCACAUGAAGUCGGAAUCGCUAGUAAUCGCUGAUCAGCAGGCAGCGGUGAAUACGUUCCCGGGCCUUGUACACACCGCCCGUCACACCAUGGAAGCUGGCUGUAACAGAAUCCCGAUGUUAGUCGGGAGAAGUUGUGGUCAGUGACUGGGGUGAAGUCGUAACAAGGUAACC